CCCAGACUCCUACGGGAGGCAGCAGUGGGGGAUAUUGCACAAUGGGGGGAACCCUGAUGCAGCGACGCCGCGUGGGUGAGGAAGUACCCCGGUAUGUAAAGCCCUUUCGGCAGGGAAGAAAAUGACGGUACCUGGCGAAGAAGCCCCGGCUAACUAUGUGCCAGCAGCCGCGGUAAUACAUAGGGGGCAAGCGUUAUCCGGAUUUAUUGGGUGUAAAGGGUGCGUAGACGGAGAAACAAGUUGGUUGUGAAAUCCCUCGGCUCAACUGAGGAACUGCAACCAAAACUAUUUCCCUUGAGUGUCGGAGAGGAAAGUGGAAUUCCUAGUGUAGCGGUGAAAUGCGUAGAUAUUAGGAGGAACACCAGUGGCGAAGGCGACUUUCUGGACGAUAACUGACGUUGAGGCACGAAAGUGUGGGGAGCAAACAGGAUUAGAUACCCCGGUA
Molecule: ribosomal RNA, 445 nt
Filed under: uncultured bacterium
Lineage: Bacteria
Description: bacterial SSU rRNA
Rfam family: Bacterial small subunit ribosomal RNA
Source: RNAcentral